AUUGAACGCUGGCGGCAUGCCUUACACAUGCAAGUCGAACGGCAGCACGGGUGCUUGCACCUGGUGGCGAGUGGCGAACUGGUGAGUAAUACAUCGGAACGUACCUUAUCGUGGGGGAUAACGCAGCGAAAGCUGUGCUAAUACCGCAUACGCCCUGAGGGGGAAAGCGGGGGAUCGAAAGACCUCGCGCGAUUAGAGCGGCCGAUGCCUGAUUAGCUUGUUGGUGGGGUAAAAGCCCACCAAGGCGACGAUCAGUAGCUGGUCUGAGAGGACGAUCAGCCACACUGGGACUGAGACACGGCCCAGACUCCUACGGGAGGCAGCAGUGGGGAAUUUUGGACAAUGGGGGAAACCCUGAUCCAGCAAUGCCGCGUGAGUGAAGAAGGCCUGGUUGUAAGCGUCUUUGUUCAGGAAGAAACAACCGGCUCUAACACA
Molecule: ribosomal RNA, 435 nt
Filed under: uncultured bacterium
Lineage: Bacteria
Description: bacterial SSU rRNA
Rfam family: Bacterial small subunit ribosomal RNA
Source: RNAcentral